Molecule: signal recognition particle RNA, 160 nt
Filed under: Mesocricetus auratus (golden hamster)
Lineage: Eukaryota; Metazoa; Chordata; Mammalia; Rodentia; Cricetidae
Description: Metazoan signal recognition particle RNA
Rfam family: Metazoan signal recognition particle RNA
About the family: The signal recognition particle (SRP) is a universally conserved ribonucleoprotein.
Source: Rfam by way of RNAcentral
UGCUGAUCAGGUGUCUACUCUAAGUUCGGCAUCAAAAUGGUGACCUCCAGGGAGUGAUGGGGAGCACCAGGUUGCCUAAGGAGGGGUGAACCGAUCCAGGUCGGAAACAGAGCAGGUCAAAACUCCUGUGCUGAUCAGCAGGAAAGCAAUCUUAUGAACA